ACUACGGGUGGCAGCAGUGAGGAAUAUUGGUCAAUGGGCGCGAGCCUGAACCAGCCAAGCCGCGUGAGGGAUGAAGGUUCUAUGGAUCGUAAACCUCUUUUAUAAGGGAAUAAAGUGUGGGACGUGUCCUAUUUUGUAUGUACCUUAUGAAUAAGGAUCGGCUAACUCCGUGUCAGCAGCCGCGGUAAUACGGAGGAUCCGAGCGUUAUCCGGUUUGAUUGGGUUUAAAGGGUGCGUAGGCGGGCUGUUAAGUCAGCGGUAAAAGCCAGGGACUCAACCCCGGCGAGCCUUUGAAACUGGGUAUCUUGAGAGGUCGAGAGGUGUGCGGAAUGCGCGGUGUAGCGGGGAAAUGCUUAGAUAUAGCGAAGAACUCCGAUUGCGAAGGCAGCAUACCGGCGGCGAUCUGACGCUGAGGCACGAAAGCGUGGGUAUCGAACAGGAUUAGAUACCCUUGUAGUC
This 459-nucleotide ribosomal RNA is filed under the name uncultured bacterium. RNAcentral describes it as "partial 16S ribosomal RNA". It matches the Rfam family "Bacterial small subunit ribosomal RNA", at positions 338 to 795 of the family's 1533-position model. The record is from RNAcentral.